GGGGACAUGGUCUAGUGGUAUGACGGAUCCUUAGCAUGUUUGAAGUUCCGCUUCACAGCUUGGAUCAGGUCCGGGGUUCGAUUCCCCGUGUCUCCA
This 96-nucleotide transfer RNA is filed under the name Thielaviopsis punctulata. RNAcentral describes it as "Ceratocystis radicicola tRNA". It matches the Rfam family "tRNA". Rfam says of the family: Transfer RNA (tRNA) molecules are approximately 80 nucleotides in length. The record is from Rfam by way of RNAcentral. Lineage: Eukaryota; Fungi; Ascomycota; Sordariomycetes; Microascales; Ceratocystidaceae.